AGUGAACGCUGGCCGUAGGCCUAACACAUGCAAGUCGAACGGCAGCACAGUAAGGGCUUGCUCUUACGGGUGGCGAGUGGCGGACGGGUGAGGAAUACAUCGGAAUCUACUUUUUCGUGGGGGAUAACGUAGGGAAACUUACGCUAAUACCGCAUACGACCUACGGGUGAAAGCAGGGGAUCUUCGGACCUUGCGCGAUUGAAUGAGCCGAUGUCGGAUUAGCUAGUUGGCGGGGUAAAGGCCCACCAAGGCGACGAUCCGUAGCUGGUCUGAGAGGAUGAUCAGCCACACUGGAACUGAGACACGGUCCAGACUCCUACGGGAGGCAGCAGUGGGGAAUAUUGGACAAUGGGCGCAAGCCUGAUCCAGCCAUACCGCGUGGGUGAAGAAGGCCUUCGGGUUGUAAAGCCCUUUUGUUGGGAAAGAAAAGCAGCAGGUUAAUACCCCGCUGUUCUGACGGUACCCAAAGAAUAAGCACCGGCUAACUUCGUG
This 492-nucleotide ribosomal RNA is filed under the name uncultured bacterium. RNAcentral's name for it is "partial 16S ribosomal RNA". It matches the Rfam family "Bacterial small subunit ribosomal RNA", at positions 29 to 507 of the family's 1533-position model. The record is from RNAcentral.